CAACUGGCUCAGCUGCAGCAGGGGGCCGGCAGUACAGCUGGUGGGGGAGCUGGUGGGGGAGCUGGUUUUCCUAAUGUCUCCGAUUAUGCGCGCCUUAACAUCGGGAAUGGCCAGAAGCCGAAGAGGAAACAAUGAUAAUGAUGAUAAUAAUAAUUCUUCAUCAAACAUCCAUUAAUAAAUGAUAUAAAACUAA
Long non-coding RNA from Homarus americanus (American lobster), 193 nucleotides. RefSeq lists it as uncharacterized. Lineage: Eukaryota; Metazoa; Arthropoda; Malacostraca; Decapoda; Nephropidae. The transcript has 2 exons. The record is from RefSeq and is a predicted model, not a curated record.